Fukomys damarensis (Damara mole-rat) is the source of this 1372-nucleotide long non-coding RNA. RefSeq lists it as uncharacterized. The record is from RefSeq and is a predicted model, not a curated record. Lineage: Eukaryota; Metazoa; Chordata; Mammalia; Rodentia; Bathyergidae. The transcript has 7 exons.
GCCAUCCAAUCUCAGACCUUCAGGCUGCUAACAGCGUCGCAGCCCAACCAGCCUGGCAGCCCACUUGGCACCUGCUGGAGAGCACCAGCUUCACCUGGGCACCUGAGGAUGAGUCUGAAGGAGAGGGAGAGGACAGGCAAGACUGUCUUCAUGGAUCAUCUCUUCUGAAUACAAGUGGUUAUUCAUGGCCCUCCAGGGACUAGAACUUACAAAACAGCAUUUUGCUCAUCUAAAUAUUAUUUGCUAGAAAUCAUGUAAAGCAAUAUCUGAAACCCUAAAAGUCCUGCUCAAGUUACAACAACUGAAACUGAAACAAAAUUUAAAUGUGAUGUGUCCUGAAAAUUCUUUUCCUGUGAUGGAAGCCAGUGAACCUGAAAUCUAUUCCAUGGGUAGUGUGGGUUAAGCUCCUUUCUUCAGCUUCAAGAACCUCCUAAGAACUUGACCAGUAACAUUUUCUCUUCAUGAGCCAGCCAGGAGAUAAAAGGAGUGUUUCCCACAGGACCUGACUAGGCUCGAGAGUGACUCAUCACCUCGCGAAACAGUCAAACUAAGUGAGUUGGAGCUGAGUGUCAGAGGGAUGAGAGGACAGAAAGGAGAAGAAAAGAAAAGAUGUAGAACAGAGGGAGUAAAGACCAGAACAAAGAAGAUUAAUGAAGGCUGCUGCUGCUGGUGGUGUCUUCAUACUCUGUAGAGCAAAGAAAACUGCAUUUUAAAAUCAUGUAUCCAGGUCAAAUCCCAUGGUGCCGGGGCCAGGGCUUCAAAGCAGGAAUUUCAGGGGAACACAAUUAACCAGAGCACUCAAUGGGACAUUCAAAGGAAAUAAUUUUCCGCCGCAGUAAGUCUCGGAUGGACAGGAAUCCAGGCUGAAGCGUAUUCCAGAAGCCGAUGUGUAACAUAUAAAGCACGGCCUCUGCUCCCAGAGUCUGAAUUCUGCCCCCACUUGGCCCUAGCCUGAAGCCUCAGGGGAGCUGCGAGUUCGCAGAGGAGGCGCAGUCACCCCAGAGACCGCGCUCCUGGGCAGGAGACGGCAGCCAGGCACAGAGGGCAGUUGAAGCUCCGAGGCAGACUGGACCUGGUGGGGAACUGCAGUACUGCGCAUAGAAAUUCAGCCAAACGCUCGUUUUCUGAUAAGAAAAAAAUUGUAGGGUUUUCCUAUAAGGUAGAAUUCAAAGAGCCACAGAAAGACAUGAAAAAAAUUGGGUGUUUCAAGAGAACGGAAUAUGAAACUGCUCCCCCUACGCUGAGGGUCACUGAGGACGUUGCAGAGACAGCAGUCAGCCCUGCACGUUUUGGCCCUGGAUUCCACACUUCCUACCAUGAAGGAUGGCUCUGGCUUUGCUGACCUCUAGGGCAUGUGUAUUAAAGAACUAAU